CGGGACAUCAAUUAGGUUUGGUUGUAUAGAAAGAUUCAUAGAUUUUUUAUGUUAACAAUAAAAAUAAUUUAACAGAAAAUAAAAUUUACUUAAUAAUGAAAAAUUAUUGAAAUUUAUGAAAGUAUUUAGCUAAUUCUGUGCCAGCAGCAGCGGUUAGACAGAAAAAUAUAUUUUUAGUAUAACAUAUUUAAAAUGAAAGAAUAAUAAUAUUAUUAAAAAAGGUGAAAUUUUUUUAAUAAACAAAAUUUUGUUUAAAAUAAAAAUUCUUUUUUAUAAACUAGGAUUAGAUACCCUAUUAUUUAAGAAACUCAUAUUGUUAGUAAAUAUAAAUUACGAAAACAUAAAAUUAUGGCGGUACUUUAAGCUUUUCAGAGGAAUUUGCUCUUUAAUGGAUAAAACACCUAAAUCUUACUGGAAUUAGUAAAGGCAGUUUGUAUACCACUAUAAAAGUAGUUAGUUACUGUUAUUACUUAAAAUUUUAAACAAAAAAUAAAUUAAGUCAUGGUGCAGCAUAAAUUUCAGGAUGAAGUGAAUUACAUUACUUUUAAGUAAAAAAUUAAUUAAAUAAAAUUUUAGGAUUUGUAAGUAAAAAUUUAAUAGAAUGAAAUUUUGAAUAAAGCUCUAAAGUAUGUACAUAUCGCCCGUCGCUCUUUUUUUUUGAAGAUAAGUCGUAACAAAGUUAAAGUACUGGAAAGUGCUUU
This 701-nucleotide non-coding RNA is filed under the name Amblyomma ovale. The record is from RNAcentral. Lineage: Eukaryota; Metazoa; Arthropoda; Arachnida; Ixodida; Ixodidae.